Molecule: ribosomal RNA, 250 nt
Filed under: uncultured bacterium
Lineage: Bacteria
Description: partial 16S ribosomal RNA
Rfam family: Archaeal small subunit ribosomal RNA
Source: RNAcentral
CACCGGCGGCUCGAGUGGUAACCGCUAUUAUUGGGUCUAAAGGGUCUGUAGCCGGCUGAAAAAGUCUCUUGGGAAAUCUGGCCGCUCAACUGUCAGGCUGUCAGGAGAUACUCUUCAGCUCGAGACCGGGAGAGGUGAGAGGUACUUCAUGGGUAGGGGUGAAAUCUUGUAAUCCUUGAAGGACCACCAGUGGCGAAGGCGUCUCACCAGAACGGAUCUGACGGCAAGGGACGAAAGCUAGGGGCACGAA